GAAUAUUGGACAAUGGGCGAAAGCCUGAUCCAGCCAUGCCGCGUGAGUGAAGAAGGCCUUAGGGUUGUAAAGCUCUUUCACCUGCGAAGAUGAUGACGGUAGCAGGAGAAGAAGCCCCGGCUAACUCCGUGCCAGCAGCCGCGGUAAUACGGAGGGGGCUAGCGUUGUUCGGAAUUACUGGGCGUAAAGGGCGCGUAGGCGGUAUGUCAAGUCAGGGGUGAAAGGCCUGGGCUCAACCCAGGAAUUGCCUUUGAAACUGGCAAACUAGAGUCCGAAAGAGGAUGGCGGAAUUCCCAGUGUAGAGGUGAAAUUCGUAGAUAUUGGGAAGAACACCGGUGGCGAAGGCGGCCAUCUGGAUCGGCACUGACGCUGAGGCGCGAAAGCGUGGGGAGCAAACAGGA
This 401-nucleotide ribosomal RNA is filed under the name uncultured bacterium. Its description in RNAcentral is "bacterial SSU rRNA". It matches the Rfam family "Bacterial small subunit ribosomal RNA", at positions 359 to 777 of the family's 1533-position model. The record is from RNAcentral.